CAGCCGCGGUAAUUCCAGCUCCAAUAAGGAAAACUAAAGUUGCUGUGUUUAAAAAGCUCGUAGUUGAAUUUCGGGUAUUUGUUGCUAGCUGGUCUAACUGGCCAUGUUGGUUAACAGAUCCUCAUUUGCUGGACGGCNGGCGAUGAUCUUUAUCGAUUGUCGUCAGUUGCCAGAACGUUUACUUUGAGAAAAUUAGAGUGCUAAAAGCAGGCUCACGCCUAUAUAUAUUGCAUGGAAUAAUGAAAUAAGAUCUCGAUUUUAUUUCGUUGGUUUUAGAAAUUGAGAUAAUGAUUAAUAGGAUCAGAGGGGGGCGUACGUACUGUGGUGUGAGAGGUGAAAUUCUUGGAUCGCCACAGGACGAACAGCAGCGAAGGCGUUCGCCAAGAAUGUUUUCAUUAAUCAAGAACGAAAGUUUGAGGUUCGAAGACGAUUAGAUACCGUCCUAGUUCAAACCAUAAACGUUGCCAACUGUCUUUUAGAUGCGGUUAUUUAUAUGACUCAUCUGGCGGAUCUCGAGAAAUCUAAGUUUUUAGGUUCCGGGGGAAGUAUGGUUGCAAAGCUGAAACUUAAAAGAAUUGACGGAAGGACACACAAGAAGUGGAGCCUGUGGCCUAAUUUGACUCAACACGGGAAACCUUACUCGGCCAGGACACUUUUAGGAUUGACAGAUUGAGAGCUCUUUCUUGAUNNNGNGGGGUGGUGGUGCAUGGUCGUUCGUAGUUCGUGGAGCGAUUUGUCUGAUUA
RNAcentral lists this ribosomal RNA (744 nucleotides) under Adineta gracilis. Its description in RNAcentral is "SSU rRNA". It matches the Rfam family "Eukaryotic small subunit ribosomal RNA", at positions 571 to 1321 of the family's 1831-position model. The record is from RNAcentral. Lineage: Eukaryota; Metazoa; Rotifera; Eurotatoria; Adinetida; Adinetidae.